RNAcentral lists this long non-coding RNA (202 nucleotides) under Setaria viridis. Its description in RNAcentral is "long non-coding RNA (SVIR_LNC002282)". The record is from RNAcentral. Lineage: Eukaryota; Viridiplantae; Streptophyta; Magnoliopsida; Poales; Poaceae.
UGGAUUUGGAUGAAAGGUGUAGAGUAAUUAUUAAUUAAAAAUCAAUCACAACUAGAAAAAUAUAAGUAGACAUCUAUAUGAGUAUUAUGUCGAAGGAUUAAAAAAUGAGAGAGUAAUAGGUAAACAAUCUUAACUAUUAAUUAGAAGUUUAAUUUCUAAAUAAUUUUCAAAUACAAUAACUUUUAAAAGCAUUAACCCGGAG